GGCCUCCAUUUGCUCUCUUUCCUCAAAAGAUUAGGGCUGGUAAGGUACGGUGGUACACACCUGUAAUCCCAGCAGCUCAAGAGGCUGAGGCAAAAAGAUCACUUGUUUGAGGCCAGCCUUAGCAACUUAACAAGUCCUUGUCUCAAAAUAAAAAGGAAUGGAGAUGUAGCUCUGUGAUAAAGUGCCCCUGAGUCAACCCCUAAUAGUAAUUAGGGCUGUUUCUAAUUACUUUCUCUCCUCUGUAUGACCAGGCACAGUUGGAGGGGUGACAUUUUAGGCAACAUGUUCUUUAAUUAAUUAAUUAAUGAUGAUGCUAGGAUUGAACCCAGGACCUCCUCCUCCCAUAGCCUUCCUUUAUGGCACUGCUUACCGCGUGCUUUCUUAUUCCUGAAUACCUUUCCACAUUCCCUCUGAUUCUCCUCAACCUUUUGCUUUCAAUGCAAUAAAUAUUUAUUGACUAAAUAAAGCAAUGUGAGGUGUGGCUAUCUAUAAGGACUUUCACAUACAUCACCUGCCUGGAGUACAACUGAUCACUUAAGGUAGGAAAUAGCAAAGAAGGAAAUAGACUGAGAAAGUUUGAGGGAUGUGACUAAAGUUUAACAGUUAAUAAUCUGGGGUCUCUUGUGCUAAAGUUCUUGCUCUUUCCACUUCAUUUUGUUGCUCUGUGCUAGGUUUUGGGAGCUGCAGCCAAAAGAAAUAAAUUCUCCUUGCCUUCAAGUUUACAGUUCCCUAGGGGGAAGAGGGGAAAGAAAGAACAAGACAUAUGGGCCUCAGAGAGGUACACCUCAAAGGUUGUGGUUCUCUAAGGAAAAAAAAAAUCCAACUAUUUGGGAGAAAAGAAAAGCUUCAUGGAAUAGGAAAGAUUUGGACUGGGCUCUGAUUUGGACUGGAGAUAUAGCAGUUAGGGAAGCAUGUCGCGGAGCCAAUACCAUGAACAUAGGAGAAAACAGUAGUUUAGUGUGGCUGAAGCUCAGGAUCUGUGUUCAAGACAAAAAGGAAAUAAGGGGACAGACAGGGCUGUUUUGAUGAGGCCUUGGGUGUCAGUUUUGGGAUUUUGCAUUUUAUCCCAGCAACAAUGAGUAAGACUUUUUAGGCAAGAAAAGGGCAUGCUGCAAGCUCAGCAUUUAAAAGAGGAAAGACAGGCACCCUGGUGCACACCUGCAAUCCAG
Molecule: long non-coding RNA, 1169 nt
Filed under: Marmota monax (woodchuck)
Lineage: Eukaryota; Metazoa; Chordata; Mammalia; Rodentia; Sciuridae
Source: RNAcentral